RNAcentral lists this ribosomal RNA (253 nucleotides) under uncultured bacterium. Its description in RNAcentral is "partial 16S ribosomal RNA". It matches the Rfam family "Bacterial small subunit ribosomal RNA", at positions 524 to 776 of the family's 1533-position model. The record is from RNAcentral.
UACGGAGGGGGCGAGCGUUAUUCGGAAUUAUUGGGCGUAAAGGGCGCGUAGGCGGCUUGAUAAGUCAAAGGUGAAAUCCCUCGGCUCAACUGAGGAACUGCCUUUGAAACUGUCAGACUUGAGGCCGGGAGGGGGUAGCGGAAUUCCCAGUGUAGCGGUGAAAUGCGUAGAUACUGGGAGGAACACCGGUGGCGAAGGCGGCUACCUGGACCGGUUCUGACGCUGAUGCGCGAAAGCGUGGGUAGCAAACAGG